AUGGGCGGGGUCUGGGCGGAGUCUACCGGGAGCCGCGUCGAGCCGGGGCGGAGCGAAGACCCCUGGGAGAGCUGUCUUCUCAGGGAUGAGGAACGGCCUGCACCUGAUGGAGAGCAAAUGGCUAUUUCCACACGUGGAGAACUUUUAACGAACACGGUAGUAUAUUUGGAACCCAGGCUGCCUCAAGGAUUAUUUUUAUAUAUAGUUCAAAAGGUAAUAUAUUAUUUGUGGAAAUAUAUUAAUGCUUUAAAAAUUAUGGUGAAAGCUGUGUUGCUUUUAUGUCUAUUUUUUUUUCUCUUGUGGGAGUGUGUUGUAUUAUGUGCCUGCCAAAAUUAGUCUUGAUAGAUGCCAAUUAUAGAUCUAGAAGUGUGUUGUUUUUGCUGUUAUUAGAGAUACAUCUAGAAGUGAUUACUUUUUGAAAGUUACUUGGAAAUUAUUCUUGUCAACAUUAUGAAGGAUUAAUGAUUAUAUUGCAUAUAUUUUACAGAACAAGGCAAGCAAAAUAUUUUAGUAUUUGCAAAUCAUGUCACUAUAAUUAUUAUAUCAUAGUACCAUUUAUAUAAAGUAUUAGGUUGGUACAAAAGUAAUUGCGGUUUAGGACCAUGAAUUUUAAAUCAUAAGUAGGCCCAGACACAUCUUUAUUAAUCAGAAUAGGAAGCAUUAUAAUCAACGUAUUUUUGCCAAUGAGAAAUAAGUUUGUUCACUCCCAUAGCUUAAAAAUUCAUGCUUUGGGAUUUGGAAAGCGUUUUCUGCUUUCCAAAAACCUGCUGGUUUUGGAAGCAUUUUCCUUUCAAAUAGUUGUCGAGAUGCUUGAAGAAGUGGUAGUUGACAAGAGGUCAGGUGAAUAUGGCAGAUGAGGCAAACUUCAUAGCUCAAUUCAUUCAGCUUUCGAAGCGUUAGUUGUGUGUCGUGCGGUUGGGCAUUGUCAUGAAGAAGAAUUGGGCCCUUUCUGUUGACCAAUGCUGGCUGCAGGUGUUGCACUUUUCAGUGCAUCUCAUUGAUUUGCUGAGUGUACUUCUCAGAUGUAAUGGUUUCACCAGGAUUCCGAAAGCUGUAGUGGGCCGGUAUGAUGGCCCACAUCUGUAACCCCAGCACUUUGGGAGGCCGAGGUGGGUGGCUCACCUGAGUUCAGGAGUUUGAGACCAGCCUGGCCAACAUUGCGAAACCCCAUCUCUACUAAAAAUACAAAAUUAGCCAGGCAUGGUGGCAUACACCCAUAGUUCCAGCUAAUUGAGAACUGAGGCAGGAGAAUCGCUUGAACCUGGGAGGUAGAGGUUGCAGUGAGUUGAGAUCGCACCGCUGCACUCUAGUCUGGGUGACAGAGCGAGACUCCGUCUCAAAAAAAAAAAAAAAAAAAAAAAAGAAGAAAGCUGUAGUGGAUCAGGCUGGCAGCAGACCACCAAACAGUGACUCUGACCUUUUUUUGGUGCAAGUUUGGUUUUGGGAAGUGAUUUGGAGCUUCUUCUAGGUCCAGGCACUGAGCUGGUCGUCGCCAGUUGUAUAAAAUCCACUUUUUGUCACACGUCACAAUCCGAUUGAGAAAUGGUUCGUUAUUGUUGUGUAGUAUAAGAUGAGAUGGCACUUCAAAAUGACGAUUUAAAAACAUUUUCCCUCAGGUCCUGAGACACCCACUUAUCCAGCUUUUUCAACUUUCCAAUUUGCUCCAAAUGCCAAACGACCAUAGAAUGGUCAACAUUGAGUUCUUUGGCAACUUUUCACGUAGCUCUAAGACGAUCAGCUUCAAUGAUUGCUCUCAAUUGGUCGUUGUCAACUUCUGAUGGCUGGCAAUGAUGUUCCUCAUUUUCAGUCUCCUUUGCAAAACUUCUUGAACCACCACUGCAUUGUACUUUUGUUAGUAGUUCCUGGGCCAAAUGCGUUGUUGUUGUAAGUUGUCUCUGCUGCUUUAUGAACCAUUUUGAUCCUGAAUAAGAAAAUCACUGGAAUUCGCUAUUUGUGUAACAUCAUUUCCAUAGUCUAAAAUAAACAUAAACAGCAAGUAAUAAAUCAUUAGGAACAAAAACAUAAAGUGAGAAAUGUCCAUUAAAAUGAUAUGUAACAUAGCCACAUUUAUUUUAAAAAUGUAUUCCAAUAUCAAAUGGCAAAUUCCAGCAAUGCAAAACCUGCAAUUAAUGUUUGCACCAACCCAAUAUUUCAGUUGUUUAACAUUUAUUUAGAAUAUUUUUCUUUUUCAGAAUGAAAUAAAGAACUGCUGUACUAUCUAUAACUAUUUACUCUGUGACAAAACUUUUUCUAAAUUGAUCUUUCACAGUAAUAUUUUAAAUUAUUAUUUUCCUAUGGAGAUGUUAAAAUAAAUUUAAGGCAUUCAUUAUCUUAGAAGUUAUAGAAGUCAGAAUGAGUUUUUGGUGUAAUUUCUUUUUUGUAUUGAAGUUUUAUUUUUAAAUGCCCUAAGUGCUGUCUGUAUUUACAUAUGUAAUAAGCUCAUAACAUGUUAAAAAAUGGGUGCUAUUGUAAGCUGAGAUCACGCCACUACACUCCAGCCUGGGUGACAGACUGAGACCCUGUCUCAAAAAAAAAAAAAAAAUGUUGCUGUUGUUUUUAUAUGCAGCCUCUAUUUCCUUCCUUAAUCUACAGGUUUUGUGUCAUACCUUCAUUCCUGCCUUCCAGGUAGGAAUAAUCCACUGUUAAAACUAUGUUUGUGAUUUAGAUAUUUUUAUGGGAAAACUCUUUAAAAAUGUAAAGUCUGAUUCUUGUCUCUGUUGACAGACCAAAUUUCUGAACUGUAUGAUAGUCAACCUUAAGAGGUUAAUCUUAGCCUAGUGUGAAAAUUAAUACUAUAGUUAAUAUAUUAUAAAAUUACUUAUAUAUUGACAUUGACAUUAUGAACAAUAAGUAAUAUUGUUUUUGACAGAGCUGUUUAACUACUAAAAGAUAUUGAAACAUUGUUGUCUUUAACAGUUAAAAACUUUACAAAUUUAUACUAAGGAGAAAUAAGAAAAACCUUUUUAUCUGGGAAUGCAAGCUCCUUUAAAUUUUCAGGCCCAGAAAGGCAUUUAAAAUGUAACAGCAGUACAUCUCAUUCCCCAUAGAGCUAAAUAAUGACCCCUUCAAGCUGCUUGCUAUUGGGGCUCCAGACUAACUGACGCCAAGUACCCAUAAAAUGCCAUGUAUGCUGUAGUUCAACAACAUAUACCCAAUCACCAAGCAAUGUUAUUUUUGUAAACCAAUGAGAAUUUCUGAUGAACAGCUUUUGUAAUUGCCCCCUCUCCUGAUUCGUCCUUUGUUUCUUUAAAAACUUGAGACUCUCUUUUGUUUUCUGGAGCACUCAGCUAGGCAACUUGGAAGUUUCGUCCCUGGCUGCAGUCCUCAACGUUUGUGCUUGAAUAAACUCUAAACUACAGUCUGACCCUUUUGAUUAUUUUAGGUUCACACUAAAUAUGUACUUAAAAUUCUUAGGAAAAAAAAUUGAUUCCCAAAUAUGGUUACUGGGAUUAUUCUUGUUAUCUGCAGUAUGAAGUAAAUGGAUUUGAAAUGUGUUUUUCUCUGUGUACAUGCAGUGAAGAGUUGGGCUCUUAUUUGCCUAGUGAUAUGAUAAAGAAUCCUAGGUUUGGUUAUCUUUUGUAGUAAAAUGAAAAAAAAAGAGUUACAUGUUCUUCAAUAAAAGACUUAUUUUCUAGUUUUUGCUAGUAUAAUGGGUAAAAUGGUAGCUCAAAUUUUAAUUUGCAUUUUUUUAAUUACUAGUGAGUGAGAGUGAGAUUCUCUUCAUUCACUUGUAUGGAUUUCACUUACAGUUCCAAAUUUAGCAAAUAAAAAUACAGGUACCUUGUUAAGUUUGAAUUUCAGGUAAGCAACAAAUAAUUUUUUAGU
Molecule: long non-coding RNA, 3825 nt
Filed under: Papio anubis (olive baboon)
Lineage: Eukaryota; Metazoa; Chordata; Mammalia; Primates; Cercopithecidae
Description: lncRNA (ENSPANG00000047721.1)
Source: RNAcentral